GCCCGCUUGGCUAAGCGGUAUAGCGUGUCACUAGUACUUCUUUGGCAUGACAAGGUGAUCAGUUCGACUCUGAUAGUGGGCA
Non-coding RNA from Trichoderma gamsii, 82 nucleotides. The record is from Rfam. Lineage: Eukaryota; Fungi; Ascomycota; Sordariomycetes; Hypocreales; Hypocreaceae.